AACGAACGCUGGCGGCAUGCCUAACACAUGCAAGUCGAACGAUUGCCUUCGGGUGAUAGUGGCGCACGGGUGCGUAACGCGUGGGAAUCUGCCCUUAGGUUCGGAAUAACAGCUGGAAACGGCUGCUAAUACCGGAUGAUAUCGCGAGAUCAAAGAUUUAUCGCCUGAGGAUGAGCCCGCGUUGGAUUAGGUAGUUGGUGGGGUAAAGGCCUACCAAGCCGACGAUCCAUAGCUGGUCUGAGAGGAUGAUCAGCCACACUGGGACUGAGACACGGCCCAGACUCCUACGGGAGGCAGCAGUGGGGAAUAUUGGACAAUGGGCGCAAGCCUGAUCCAGCAAUGCCGUGUGAGUGAUGAAGGCCCUAGGGUUGUAAAGCUCUUUUACCCGGGAAGAUAAUGACUGUACCGGGAGAAUAAGCCCCGGCUAACUCCGU
This 434-nucleotide ribosomal RNA is filed under the name uncultured bacterium. RNAcentral describes it as "partial 16S ribosomal RNA". It matches the Rfam family "Bacterial small subunit ribosomal RNA", at positions 29 to 506 of the family's 1533-position model. The record is from RNAcentral.